RNAcentral lists this ribosomal RNA (19 nucleotides) under Pleosporales sp. r062. RNAcentral's name for it is "partial 28S ribosomal RNA". The record is from RNAcentral. RNAcentral also lists the same sequence under 3 other names. Lineage: Eukaryota; Fungi; Ascomycota; Dothideomycetes; Pleosporales.
UUGACCUCGGAUCAGUAGG